This 73-nucleotide transfer RNA is filed under the name Salmo salar (Atlantic salmon). It matches the Rfam family "tRNA". Rfam says of the family: Transfer RNA (tRNA) molecules are approximately 80 nucleotides in length. Lineage: Eukaryota; Metazoa; Chordata; Actinopteri; Salmoniformes; Salmonidae. The record is from Rfam by way of RNAcentral.
GCCCGUGUAGCUCAGUUGGUAGAGCAUGGAGCUUGCAACGCCAGGGUUGUGGGUUCGGAUCCCACAGGGGACC